GAUGAACGCUAGCUACAGGCUUAACACAUGCAAGUCGAGGGGCAGCGGGGAUCUAGCUUGCUAGAUUUGCCGGCGACCGGCGCACGGGUGAGUAACACGUAUCCAACCUGGCCCAUACUCGGGUAUAGCCUCUCGAAAGGGAGAUUAAUCCCCGAUGUUGUUGCGAUUCCGCAUGGUGUUGCAACCAAAGAAUUUCGGUAUGGGAUGGGGAUGCGUUCCAUUAGCUUGUUGGAGGGGUAACGGCCCACCAAGGCGACGAUGGAUAGGGGUUCUGAGAGGAAGGUCCCCCCACACUGGAACUGAGACACGGUCCAGACUCCUACGGGAGGCAGCAGUGAGGAAUAUUGGUCAAUGGGCGUAAGCCUGAACCAGCCAAGUAGCGUGAAGGAAGACUGCCCUACGGGUUGUAAACUUCUUUGUUUGGGAAUAAAGUGCGUCACGUGUGGCGUUUUGUAUGUACCAUUCGAAUAAGCAUCGGCUAAUUCCGUG
This 489-nucleotide ribosomal RNA is filed under the name uncultured bacterium. RNAcentral describes it as "bacterial SSU rRNA". It matches the Rfam family "Bacterial small subunit ribosomal RNA", at positions 28 to 507 of the family's 1533-position model. The record is from RNAcentral.